GGGGAUCAAAAUUACCUACUGGUAAAUAAUUUCACUAAUAUAAUGGAACAAAUGUACCAAAUUUCAAAUCCUAAAUUAUCGAUUCAGCGUUUAUUUGGUUGGAUUUUGAUAAUUGAGAGAGUGAAACCUUAAGAAAGAAAUGAGAUUGAAAGAAAGGUGGAUUUUCCGGCCAAAUUCAGCCGGAAAUCUCGAACUUGACAAAUCUUUUAUGGUUCCGGCAACCAGCUAUAUGGACAAAUCACCGGCAAAUUUGUUCUCCGGCGGCGUACAGAGAAACAUCUCGAACCUCUUUGAGCUCAAUCUCUCUUACAAUCACUUCUCCGGAAAAAUUCCGGCGAGUCUCCGGUGGGCUUCACCAACUUCACUAUCUUCAGCUUGAAUGGUCGAGAAAAAGUGAAAAAAGAAAUUAGGUUCUAUGCACUGACUAUUUGCACAAUCAGGUAAUUGAAGAUAUUCUAUUUAAUAGCAUUAAUUGGAAUAAAUGAUAAGUAAUUUGCUAUAACGUAAUUGAAACCAUUACCGUGUAUAUAUAACUUUAAUUGCGAGACCACGCUCUUAAAAUCAGUUUCAGAACAAAAUUAGACGCAAACUCUG
This 594-nucleotide long non-coding RNA is filed under the name Nicotiana tabacum (common tobacco). Its description in RNAcentral is "long non-coding RNA (NTAB_LNC003268)". Lineage: Eukaryota; Viridiplantae; Streptophyta; Magnoliopsida; Solanales; Solanaceae. The record is from RNAcentral.